This 249-nucleotide unclassified non-coding RNA is filed under the name uncultured fungus. Its description in RNAcentral is "partial contains 5.8S ribosomal RNA, internal transcribed spacer 2, and large subunit ribosomal RNA". Lineage: Eukaryota; Fungi. RNAcentral also lists the same sequence under 1 other name. The record is from RNAcentral.
AACGCACAUUGCGCCCCUUGGUAUUCCAUUGGGCAUGCCUGUUCGAGCGUCAUUUACACCCUCAAGCUACGCUUGGUGUUGGGCGUCUGUCCCCGCUUCCCGCGAGGACUCGCCCCAAAUCCAUUGGCAGCGGCAUCGCCGGCUUCUCGCGCAGCACAUUGCGCUCCAGAAGGCUCCCGGCGGGCUCGCGUCCAGCAAGAACCCCCCCAGUUUGACCUCGAAUCAGGUAGGGAUACCCGCUGAACUUAA